UACGUAGGGUGCGAGCGUUGUCCGGAAUCAUUGGGCGUAAAGCGCACGUAGGCGGUCUGUUAUGUCGGAUGUGAAAGCCCUUGGCUCAACUGAGGAAGUGCAUCCGAAACUGGCAGGCUAGAGUACUAAAGAGGGUCGCGGAAUUCCCGGUGUAGAGGUGAAAUUCGUAGAUAUCGGGAGGAACACCGGUGGCGAAGGCGGCGACCUGGGUAGAUACUGACGCUGAGGUGCGAAAGCGUGGGGAGCAAACAGG
This 253-nucleotide ribosomal RNA is filed under the name uncultured bacterium. Its description in RNAcentral is "partial 16S ribosomal RNA". It matches the Rfam family "Bacterial small subunit ribosomal RNA", at positions 524 to 776 of the family's 1533-position model. The record is from RNAcentral.